CCUACGGGAGGCAGCAGUGAGGAAUAUUGGUCAAUGGACGAGAGUCUGAACCAGCCAAGUAGCGUGAAGGAUGACUGCCCUAUGGGUUGUAAACUUCUUUUAUAAAGGAAUAAAACGAGUCACGUGUGCCUUUUUGCAUGUACUUUAUGAAUAAGGAUCGGCUAACUCCGUGCCAGCAGCCGCGGUAAUACGGAGGAUCCGAGCGUUAUCCGGCUUUAUUUGGUUUAAAGGGAGCGUAGAUGGGUUGUUAAGUCCGUUGUGAAAGUUUGCGGCUCAACCGUAAAAUUGCAAUUGAUACUGGCAGUCUUGAGUACAGUUGAGGUAGGCGGAAUUCGUGGUGUAGCGGUGAAAUGCUUAGAUAUCACGAAGAACCCCGAUUGCGAAGGCAGCUUACUAAACUGUGACUGACAUUGAUGCUCGAAAGUGUGGGUAUCAAACAGGAUUAGAUACCCGGGUAGUC
RNAcentral lists this ribosomal RNA (460 nucleotides) under uncultured bacterium. RNAcentral's name for it is "partial 16S ribosomal RNA". It matches the Rfam family "Bacterial small subunit ribosomal RNA", at positions 338 to 795 of the family's 1533-position model. The record is from RNAcentral.